GCUCCGGUAGUACAGCCCGGUCAUCACUUAGCAACAGGCCGACAGUAUGCCGGCCUUUCGAGCCGGUAACCCGGGUUCGAAUCCCGGCCGGAGCACCA
Molecule: transfer RNA, 98 nt
Filed under: Candidatus Thorarchaeota archaeon
Lineage: Archaea; Promethearchaeati; Candidatus Thorarchaeota
Description: tRNA-Glu
Rfam family: tRNA
About the family: Transfer RNA (tRNA) molecules are approximately 80 nucleotides in length.
Source: RNAcentral